This 492-nucleotide ribosomal RNA is filed under the name uncultured bacterium. RNAcentral describes it as "partial 16S ribosomal RNA". It matches the Rfam family "Bacterial small subunit ribosomal RNA", at positions 29 to 507 of the family's 1533-position model. The record is from RNAcentral.
AGUGAACGCUGGCGGUAGGCCUAACACAUGCAAGUCGAACGGCAGCACAGUAAGAGCUUGCUCUUACGGGUGGCGAGUGGCGGACGGGUGAGGAAUACAUCGGAAUCUACUUAUUCGUGGGGGAUAACGGAGGGAAACUUACGCUAAUACCGCAUACGACCUACGGGUGAAAGCAGGGGAUCUUCGGACCUUGCGCGACUGAAUGAGCCGAUGUCGGAUUAGCUAGUUGGCGGGGUAAAGGCCCACCAAGGCGACGAUCCGUAGCUGGUCUGAGAGGAUGAUCAGCCACACUGGAACUGAGACACGGUCCAGACUCCUACGGGAGGCAGCAGUGGGGAAUAUUGGACAAUGGGCGCAAGCCUGAUCCAGCCAUGCCGCGUGGGUGAAGAAGGCCUUCGGGUUGUAAAGCCCUUUUGUUGGGAAAGAAAAGCAGCAGGUUAAUACCCCGCUGUUCUGACGGUACCCAAAGAAUAAGCACCGGCUAACUUCGUG